AGAGUUUGAUCCUGGCUCAGAACGAACGCUGGCGGCGCGCCUAAUACAUGCAAGUCGAGCGAGAAGACGUAGCAAUACGUUUGUAAAGCGGCGAACGGGUGAGGAAUACAUGGGUAACCUACCCUCGAGUGGGGAAUAACUAGCCGAAAGGUUAGCUAAUACCGCGUACGCUUCUUGGACUUCGGUUCAGGGAGGAAAGCGAUACCGUGGGUAUCGCGCUCUUGGAUGGGCUCAUGUCCUAUCAGCUUGUUGGUGAGGUAACGGCUCACCAAGGCUUCGACGGGUAGCUGGUCUGAGAGGACGAUCAGCCACACUGGCACUGCGACACGGGCCAGACUCCUACGGGAGGCAGCAGUAAGGAAUAUUGCGCAAUGGGCGAAAGCCUGACGCAGCGACGCCGCGUGGGGGAUGAAGGUCUUCGGAUUGUAAACCCCUUUCGGGAGGGAAGAUGGGAUGGGGUAACCCAUUCGGACGGUACCUCCAGAAGCAGCCACGGCUAACUUCGUGCCAGCAGCCGCGGUAAUACGAAGGUGGCAAGCGUUGUUCGGAUUUAC
Molecule: ribosomal RNA, 554 nt
Filed under: uncultured Nitrospiraceae bacterium
Lineage: Bacteria; Pseudomonadati; Nitrospirota; Nitrospiria; Nitrospirales; Nitrospiraceae
Description: bacterial SSU rRNA
Rfam family: Bacterial small subunit ribosomal RNA
Source: RNAcentral